GACGAACGCUGACGGUGUGCUUUAGGCAUGCAAGUCGAACGAGAAAGCCCUUCGGGGUGAGUAAAGUGGCGAACGGGUGAGUAACACGUGGAUAACCUGCCCUUCGCAGGGGGACGAACCGGAGGAAACUCCGGCUAAUACCCCGUACGUUUGUCAGGGGGCAUCCCCUCGACAAAGAAAGGUAGCUUCGGCCAUCCGGCGAAGGAGGGGUCCGCGUCCCAUUAGCUAGUUGGUGAGGUAGAGGCUCACCAAGGUGACGAGGGUAGCUGGUCUGAGAGGAUGAUCAGCCACACUGGGACUGAGACACGGCCCAGACUCCUACGGGAGGCAGCAGCCAGGAAUCUUGCACAAUGGGCGAAAGCCUGAUGCAGCAACACCGUGUGGGCGAGGAAGGCC
RNAcentral lists this ribosomal RNA (396 nucleotides) under uncultured bacterium. RNAcentral's name for it is "bacterial SSU rRNA". It matches the Rfam family "Bacterial small subunit ribosomal RNA", at positions 28 to 416 of the family's 1533-position model. The record is from RNAcentral.